GAUGGACGCUAGCUACAGGCUUAACACAUGCAAGUCGAGGGGCAGCAUGGUCUUAGCUUGCUAAGGCCGAUGGCGACCGGCGCACGGGUGAGUAACACGUAUCCAACCUGCCGUCUACUCUUGGACAGCCUUCUGAAAGGAAGAUUAAUACAAGAUGGCAUCAUGAGUCCGCAUGUUCACAUGAUUAAAGGUAUUCCGGUAGACGAUGGGGAUGCGUUCCAUUAGAUAGUAGGCGGGGUAACGGCCCACCUAGUCUUCGAUGGAUAGGGGUUCUGAGAGGAAGGUCCCCCACAUUGGAACUGAGACACGGUCCAAACUCCUACGGGAGGCAGCAGUGAGGAAUAUUGGUCAAUGGGCGAGAGCCUGAACCAGCCAAGUAGCGUGAAGGAUGACUGCCCUAUGGGUUGUAAACUUCUUUUAUAAAGGAAUAAAGUCGGGUAUGGAUACCCGUUUGCAUGUACUUUAUGAAUAAGGAUCGGCUAACUCCGUG
This 490-nucleotide ribosomal RNA is filed under the name uncultured bacterium. Its description in RNAcentral is "partial 16S ribosomal RNA". It matches the Rfam family "Bacterial small subunit ribosomal RNA", at positions 28 to 507 of the family's 1533-position model. The record is from RNAcentral.